This 250-nucleotide ribosomal RNA is filed under the name uncultured Actinomycetes bacterium. RNAcentral's name for it is "uncultured actinobacterium partial 16S ribosomal RNA". It matches the Rfam family "Bacterial small subunit ribosomal RNA", at positions 28 to 276 of the family's 1533-position model. Lineage: Bacteria; Bacillati; Actinomycetota; Actinomycetes. The record is from RNAcentral.
GACGAACGCUGGCGGCGUGCUUAACACAUGCAAGUCGUGCGGUAAGGCCCUUUUGGGGGUACACGAGCGGCGAACGGGUGAGUAACACGUGAGUGACCUGCCUUCAACUUUGGGAUAAGCCUCGGAAAUGGGGUCUAAUACCGGAUAUGAUUCUGCGCUUCAUGGUGUGGGGUUGAAAGCCUUUUGGGGGUGGUUGGGGAUGGGCUCGCGGCCUAUCAGCUUGUUGGUGGGUGAUGGCCUACCAAGGCGG